Long non-coding RNA from Portunus trituberculatus (swimming crab), 1043 nucleotides. RefSeq lists it as uncharacterized. The record is from RefSeq and is a predicted model, not a curated record. NCBI's taxonomy places the organism in Eukaryota, Metazoa, Arthropoda, Malacostraca, Decapoda, Portunidae. The transcript is spliced from 3 exons.
UAUAGUAGUUUGUCUGUCUGUCUGUUUGUCUGUGUGUUUAUUAUAUGGUGUUGUUGUUCUCUCUCUCUCUCUCUCUCUCUCUCUCUCUCUCUCUCUCUCUCUCUCUCGGGACAAGCCAAGCGGUACGCCAAGGGAUUUAAGAAGUUAUGGUACGUUGCAGACCCCAAAAGUGUACCCUGCCCAAAAGACGGUACAGGCAACACUCCAACCUUCCUUGUCACUCCUCGCCAACCCUCCCUCGAGACACGGAACAUUGAUGGGAAGGAAGGAAGGAAGGAAGGAAGGAAGGAAGGAAGGAAGGAAGGAAGCUGUGUCACGAGGCGGGCCAAGAGAGGGGAGAAAACCUUACCUACAAAAACCCAUAACGGCACAAACUGAGGCGUCUUCCAGCACACCACUCAGUCUCUCCCUUAGAAGAAAGAUUAGUUAACCCCUUCAGUGCUGUGACGUGUUUUCAUCUUCAUUCUGGUUGUUAUUUAAUGAUUUUAUACAGCUUCAAAAAUCUAUGUGUAGGAUUGAAAUAGUGAAGACUCUUGCCAUUAAUCUUCUGAACCGCAUACAUCCUUCCUAAUGUAAAUAAAAUCGUUGUAACAUAUCCAAACUUACUGUAAAAAUGCGUCCCAGUACUGAAGGGGUUAACUCUCGAUCUGGUAAUAGGAAAGUAAUUAAUGUUUGUUCGUUAAUUUGUUUGCUUAUGCUACUAAUUCUACUCUUUGCUAUUCUCUUUCUCCUUUUCUCUUUUUUUAUUGGUUUUCCAUCUAUUUACCUUGUUUUCCUUAUCUUUCGUUAUUAUCUAUUCGUCUCGGUCUUUCCCCGUGUGUCGCUGCCUGUGGGUAUAGCGAAGUGUCCCUGAGAACCAUUAAUACAACAGAAAACGUGAACUCUUCUGGUACUGGAGGAAGGGAGGGAGGGAGGAGAGGAGAGGAGAGGAGAGGAGAGAAGAGGAGAGAGAGAGGAGAGGAGAGGAGAGAAGAGAAGAGGAGAGGAGAGGAGAGGAGAGGCCAUUAAUACAACAGAAAACGUGAACUCUUCUAUAGUACUGG